AUACGGAGGGUGCGAGCGUUGUCCGGAAUGAUUGGGCGUAAAGGGCGCGUAGGCGGCCCGGUAAGUCUGGAGUGAAAGUCCUGUUUUUAAGAUGGGAAUUGCUUUGGAUACUGUCGGGCUUGAGUGCAGGAGAGGUAAGUGGAAUUCCCAGUGUAGCGGUGAAAUGCGUAGAGAUUGGGAGGAACACCAGUGGCGAAGGCGACUUACUGGACUGUAACUGACGCUGAGGCGCGAAAGUGUGGGGAGCAAACAGGAUUAGAUACCCUGGUAGUCCACACUGUAAACGAUGAAUGCUAGGUGUAAGAGGUAUCGACCCCUGUUGUGCCGGAGUCAACACAAUAAGCAUUCCGCCUGGGGAGUACGGCCGCAAGGUUGAAACUCAAAGGAAUUGACGGGG
RNAcentral lists this ribosomal RNA (397 nucleotides) under uncultured bacterium. RNAcentral's name for it is "partial 16S ribosomal RNA". It matches the Rfam family "Bacterial small subunit ribosomal RNA", at positions 523 to 918 of the family's 1533-position model. The record is from RNAcentral.